This 492-nucleotide ribosomal RNA is filed under the name uncultured bacterium. RNAcentral's name for it is "partial 16S ribosomal RNA". It matches the Rfam family "Bacterial small subunit ribosomal RNA", at positions 29 to 507 of the family's 1533-position model. The record is from RNAcentral.
AGUGAACGCUGGCGGUAGGCCUAACACAUGCAAGUCGAACGGAAGCACAGUAAGAGCUUGCUCUUACGGGUGGCGAGUGGCGGACGGGUGAGGAAUACAUCGGAAUCUACUUUUUCGUGGGGGAUAACGUAGGGAAACUUACGCUAAUACCGAAUACGACCUACGGGUGAAAGCAGGAGAUCUUCGCACCUUGCGCGACUGAAUGAGCCGAUGUCGGAUUAGCUAGUUGGCGGGGUAAAGGCCCACCAAGGCGACGAUCCGUAGCUGGUCUGAGAGGAUGAUCAGCCACACUGGAACUGAGACACGGUCCAGACUCCUACGGGAGGCAGCAGUGGGGAAUAUUGGGCAAUGGGCGCAAGCCUGAUCCAGCCAUACCGCGUGAGUGAAGAAGGCCUUCGGGUUGUAAAGCCCUUUUGUUGGGAAAGAAAAGCAGCAUGUUUAUACCCCGCUGUUCUGACGGUACCCAAAGAAUAAGCACCGGCUAACUUCGUG